GGCCAGACUCCUACGGGAGGCAGCAGUGGGGAAUAUUGCACAAUGGGGGAAACCCUGAUGCAGCAACGCCGCGUGAGUGAAGAAGUCAUUCGUGAUGUAAAGCUCUAUCAGCAGGGAAGAAAAUGACGGUACCUGAGUAAGAAGCCCCGGCUAACUACGUGCCAGCAGCCGCGGUAAUACGUAGGGGGCAAGCGUUAUCCGGAUUUACUGGGUGUAAAGGGAGCGUAGACGGCUAGUCAAGUCAGAAGUGAAAGCCCAGGGCUCAACCUUGGGACUGCUUUUGAAACUGAGUAGCUAGAGUGCAGGAGAGGUAAGCGGAAUUCCUAGUGUAGCGGUGAAAUGCGUAGAUAUUAGGAGGAACACCAGUGGCGAAGGCGGCUUACUGGACUGUAACUGACGUUGAGGCUCGAAAGCGUGGGGAGCAAACAGGAUUAGAUACCCCAGUAUG
This 448-nucleotide ribosomal RNA is filed under the name uncultured bacterium. Its description in RNAcentral is "bacterial SSU rRNA". It matches the Rfam family "Bacterial small subunit ribosomal RNA", at positions 329 to 793 of the family's 1533-position model. The record is from RNAcentral.